UACGUAGGGCGCAAGCGUUGUCCGGAAUUAUUGGGCGUAAAGAGCUCGUAGGCGGCUUGUUGCGUCGGAUGUGAAAGCCCGGGGCUUAACCCCGGGUCUGCAUUCGAUACGGGCAGGCUAGAGUGUGGUAGGGGAGAUCGGAAUUCCUGGUGUAGCGGUGAAAUGCGCAGAUAUCAGGAGGAACACCGGUGGCGAAGGCGGAUCUCUGGGCCAUUACUGACGCUGAGGAGCGAAAGCAUGGGGAGCGAACAGG
RNAcentral lists this ribosomal RNA (253 nucleotides) under uncultured bacterium. Its description in RNAcentral is "partial 16S ribosomal RNA". It matches the Rfam family "Bacterial small subunit ribosomal RNA", at positions 524 to 776 of the family's 1533-position model. The record is from RNAcentral.